This 253-nucleotide ribosomal RNA is filed under the name uncultured bacterium. RNAcentral's name for it is "partial 16S ribosomal RNA". It matches the Rfam family "Bacterial small subunit ribosomal RNA", at positions 524 to 776 of the family's 1533-position model. The record is from RNAcentral.
UACGUAGGGUGCGAGCGUUAAUCGGAAUUACUGGGCGUAAAGCGUGCGCAGGCGGUUUUGUAAGCCAGAUGUGAAAUCCCCGGGCUUAACCUGGGAAUGGCAUUUGGGACUGCAAGGCUGGAGUGUGGCAGAGGAGACUGGAAUUCCUGGUGUAGCAGUGAAAUGCGUAGAUAUCAGGAGGAAUACCGAUGGCGAAGGCAGGUCUCUGGGCCAUUACUGACACUGAGAAGCGAAAGCAUGGGGAGCGAACAGG